UAAGAUAGAAAUAAUCAUUCAGGUACCACA
RNAcentral lists this non-coding RNA (30 nucleotides) under Homo sapiens (human). The record is from RNAcentral. Lineage: Eukaryota; Metazoa; Chordata; Mammalia; Primates; Hominidae.